UUGAAUGGCAUCAUUCGAUAUUGAAAACUCCGGUGGAUAGAGAUGGGCACGCGCAAGAUUAGAUAGUUGGUGAGGUAACGGCUCACCAAGUCUGCGAUCUUUAGGGGGCCUGAGAGGGUGAUCCCCCACACUGGUACUGAGACACGGACCAGACUCCUACGGGAGGCAGCAGUGAGGAAUAUUGGACAAUGGGUGAGAGCCUGAUCCAGCCAUCCCGCGUGAAGGACGACGGCCCUAUGGGUUGUAAACUUCUUUUGUAUAGGGAUAAACCUACUCUCGUGAGAGUAGCUGAAGGUACUAUACGAAUAAGCACCGGCUAACUCCGUGCCAGCAGCCGCGGUAAUACGGAGGGUGCAAGCGUUAUCCGGAUUUAUUGGGUUUAAAGGGUCCGUAGGCGGAUCUGUAAGUCAGUGGUGAAAUCUCACAGCUUAACUGUGAAACUGCCAUUGAUACUGCAGGUCUUGAGUGUUGUUGAAGUAGCUGGAAUAAGUAGUGUAGCGGUGAAAUGCAUAGAUAUUACUUAGAACACCAAUUGCGAAGGCAGGUUACUAAGCAACAACUGACGCUGAUGGACGAAAGCGUGGGGAGCGAACAGGAUUAGAUACCCUGGUAGUCCACGCCGUAAACGAUGCUAACUCGUUUUUGGUAUUUCGGUAUCAGAGACUAAGCGAAAGUGAUAAGUUAGCCACCUGGGGAGUACGAACGCAAGUUUGAAACUCAAAGGAAUUGACGGGGGCCCGCACAAGCGGUGGAUUAUGUGGUUUAAUUCGAUGAUACGCGAGGAACCUUACCAAGGCUUAAAUGGGAAAUGACAGGUUUAGAAAUAGACUUUUCUUCGGACAUUUUUCAAGGUGCUGCAUGGUUGUCGUCAGCUCGUGCCGUGAGGUGUUAGGUUAAGUCCUGCAACGAGCGCAACCCCUGUCACUAGUUGCCAUCAUUAAGUUGGGGACUCUAGUGAGACUGCCUACGCAAGUAGAGAGGAAGGUGGGGAUGACGUCAAAUCAUCACGGCCCUUACGCCUUGGGCCACACACGUAAUACAAUGGCCGGUACAGAGGGCAGCUACACAGCGAUGUGAUGCAAAUCUCGAAAGCCGGUCUCAGUUCGGAUUGGAGUCUGCAACUCGACUCUAUGAAGCUGGAAUCGCUAGUAAUCGCGCAUCAGCCAUGGCGCGGUGAAUACGUUCCCGGGCCUUGUACACACCGCCCGUCAAGCCAUGGAAGUCUGGGGUACCUGAAGUCGGUGACC
Molecule: ribosomal RNA, 1247 nt
Filed under: Chryseobacterium sp. 71F
Lineage: Bacteria; Pseudomonadati; Bacteroidota; Flavobacteriia; Flavobacteriales; Weeksellaceae
Description: bacterial SSU rRNA
Rfam family: Bacterial small subunit ribosomal RNA
Source: RNAcentral